This 5575-nucleotide long non-coding RNA is filed under the name Citrus maxima (pomelo). RNAcentral describes it as "long non-coding RNA (CMAX_LNC002406)". Lineage: Eukaryota; Viridiplantae; Streptophyta; Magnoliopsida; Sapindales; Rutaceae. The record is from RNAcentral.
CAUUGGUUCAUUGUUAAGUGAAAAUUGCGACAGUAACUUUCGCCAUCUCGAGGUCCGUGGGUAGCACUGUACUGAAGUAAAAAAAAUAACACAUAAUUUAAUAAUUACAAUUCAAAACUCGCGAAAAUCUGAUUGAAAUUUAUCCUGCACCCAUUAUUUAUUUAUUUUAUUUUUUUAAACUCCCUCGAUGCCAUCGUGACAAAAUUUUAUUAGCUAUGUAUUUUGAGGUGUCUGAUCAUUUUUUUUUAAAUUUAACAGCAGUAAUUUUGCCAAUAAACGAGAAUAAAGGGAAAAUAUGUACUCCGAAUAUUAAUAGAGAUAAAAGUCUAAUCAUGCCACAAUAAAACUAAUUUAAGGACAAAAGUAAAAGAUAUCUAAUUAAAAUAUGUACUCCAAAUAUUUAUAGAGAGAAAAAUUUAACUAUACCACGAUGAAACUAAUUUAGGGAUAUCAGUAAAAAAAUCCAUAAUUCUCUUUAUUUCGAUGCAUGGGUGGAUGGAGCAUGUGACCAGUGGGGGCCAAAAAAAAAAUUGUAAAAUAAAAGAGAAAAAUAUUUUUAUUUUCUAAUUAACCCUCAUUAAAUUUAUUAAAAUAGUCACUAUAAAUUAUAAAUCCCAUAAAAUUUAAACUUUAGCUUUCAAGAAUUAUAAAAAUCUAUAUUUUAAUUAAAAAUAAUGAUAGCCCACCACCCAAAAUAUUUUCUAUUCUCAAAAAUUGGAUUAAUUCUUUUAUUUUCUAUAAUAAUAGUAAAGAGAACGUUUUCAGUAAUGAAACUCAUGAAGAAUCAUCUUUGGAAUUGGAUGAGAUAAAUGAUAGUUUGGUUGUUUAUAUAGGAAAUAAUAAAUUUAAUAAUAUUGAUGACGAGUCGAACAUAACAUUUUUAAAAUAUGAAAUUCCGUAGAGAAUAAUUAUAAAUGUAUUAACAAAUAUUUUAUAUAUUCAAAAUUUUAUUUUUAUAUUUUACUAUUAUCUAAUUUAGUCCCCGAUAAAUUAUUCUUUUAGAUCCGCCACUGUUUCAAUGGCCAUUUUAUCCAAUUUCUCAACAAAAAAUUAGGAAAGAUCCAAUCACAUUUCGGCCACCAACAAAUCCCUUUUUUAAGAGGACCGAUAUGACAUUUGGCGUCACCAUCAAACAGCUAGAGACCAAGUUUCCAAAUAUGUAAAAUUGAUUAAUACGCUGGGGUUUGGGUAACAAGCAUUUUCUAUCUAUAAUCAAAUAGAUGAACAUUAGCUAGGGAUUUGGUCACAAUAUUUCUCCCAUGUGCGCCAUCUAUAUUAGAGUCUAUAUAUGUGAUGGAAAAAGCAGGAACCUGCAUUUACAGAGAUUAAACAACGCAACAUUCUUCGAUCUUCGUUAAAAUAAAAGCCAUCACCAACUGAGAAACAUCACUGCCAUGGACGAAGAAACCACAAAAAAGUUUGAAUGCCCGAGUGCGAUUUUUCCUUUUUGUUUCAACUCGGUCCCUGAAUUCAUCGCUUUAUCUUAUGCUUCAGUUAAAACCGAGCUUUCUCGUUCAGUUUAUGUUGAUUCUGUUGCCCUUCUGCUCACGUUUCUUAUUCUUUUCGCUUCCAAACUCAUCUCCCACAAACAUCCAUUGGCUUCCCAAGAUCAGUUUGUUGCCCAAGAAGCAUACUUCACCCCUGGUAGAUAAGAAACUAUCUCCAUGACUUGGGAAGCAAAUGGAUGUUUUUGGGAGAUCAGUCUGGAAACGAAGAGAAUAAGCAACGUGCGCAGUGUUGGGAAAAAUCAGGUUUUUAAAAUUUUUAUAAAACCUUUUGAAGAUCGUUCUCAUAUAAUAUAUAAGAAUUUGUAUUCUAGAAAUCGUACCUUGAAAAUCCGAGUUGGCUUUUUCCACUGAAGUGAUUUAGGCUCCUAGAUCACGAUCCGCCACCACCACUCCUGUUAGAUCACGAUCCGUCACCACCACACUUGUUAGAUCACGAACUGUCACCAAUGAUCUUCCAAGUUAUGACUCAGGUUCGAUCUGCACUUGACGUGUGGGCGCCUUUAUCACUACCAAAGCAACUAGCACGAGAAAAUUUUUUUUCUCAAUAAUGGAGAGAAAAAUCUUAUUCUCUGAUUUGUAUAAAGUGGCUUCUGCUUUUUUCUUUAGGGAAAAAUAAGCCUUUUAUAUCACCCUUUAGUGAAAACCCUAGGCUCCAAGAAUGCUCAAAAUAAAACUCACGUUGUUUUCUUUUUCAAUAGGGGACCCACCUUGUAAAAUAACAUAAGGCCCCUUACAUAUAAGCUUAUUAAAUGGAGCCUCCCACUAAAUGAUAUAUUUAGGCUUUUGACCCAAAUAGCUAGUUAUCUUGCUUAUUAGUCCAGUAGUGGUGCAGUCAAUUAAAUGAGCUAACCCGGGGAUCAUUUGGGAACAUACAAUAGUGGCUACAAUAAUUAGGCCUGUAAUUAAACUAGCCCAAUUAUUUAAUUCCAAAUCUACUCCACUAAAAGAUUGGAACUGACUUCCAUAAUUGUAUGCUCGAAUAAUAAUUCGUCCCAAGCCACAUUGAUUUCUUUACUGCACAAUCCUUUGUACCACAUCGUUAAUUAAAUUGAUAUCUCAACUGUCCAAUCAAUUUAAUAACAUCUUAUUCCUUGAUCCUUACUGGUUUUCUCUAAUGAUCAUUUUCAACAUACUAAAUAUGUUGACACACUCUGGCCAGAGAAUUCUAUGAUCAAGUGCCGAAAACCUAUCAAGAGAUGUGUUGUACAAAUUCUAUAUUGUUAAUCCAUAACUCCAAUACUCAUAAUUGCUCCCACCAAGAUACCGGGUAAUCUUGACCACAAGGAUGUGUCGUGCCCAUUGGUAACUCAAAUGAAAUAACAAUCACAAUCAUGAAAUCAUAAUUAACUCAAGAUUAAGAUUACAGUAAAAUCAACGCCUAUGAGAUUUAAUAAGUUUGACAGUUAUUACAAAGUUAAUUAAAUCUCAUAUGUGAUCAUGUUCAAUGUAGUCGUACUACAUCAAUAAAUUCAUACAUGAUUAAGACAAAUCAUUCAAUGAAUUUAUUACAGUCUAUACCUAAAUAAAGUGCCCAACUUUAUUUAUCAACUGCGAACUAAAUUUAUUUAAUCAUAAGAUAACUUGUAUUUAUGUCUUCUGUGAAUCCACAUGGUGAUCACAUAAAUACAUAUAAUAUGAUUAAAUGGACUUUAAUACAAAUAUUAAUGCAAUUAAAAUAUUUGAAUAAAAUACCUCAUUUAUUUUAUUAAUCAGAAAAAUUGUUUAUUACAAUUAAAUAAACACAUAUGCUUUUAAAGAGCAUAUUUUCCCAACACGCAGAAGGGCAAAAGAAAAAACAUAAACUGAAGGAGGAAGCUCGGUUUUAACUGGAACAUAUAUAGAAUAAAGCCAUGAAUCCAAGGGUCAAGGUGAAACAUAAAGGAAAGAUCACACUCGGCCAUUCAAACGGUUCAGUGCUUUCUUCAUCCAUGGCUGUAAUGUUGGUUAGUUGGUGAUGGCUAUGAUGCAAAUACAGAUUGAAGAAUGUGUUGUUUAAUCUCUAUAGACGCCGGUGCUUUUCUGUCAUAUUUAUAUAUGUAAACCCAACCAAAGACAUUUAAUUUGCCUAUAUUCUUUCAAGUCCAUAAAGAUCCUAUUUCAAAAAAAUUAAAAAAAAUAAAAUUAACCUAGAAAAAGGAAAGGAGUAAUAACUUGUACGAAACAAAAUAUAAAAUUCACUGGACAAAAUUAAAGGUAAUAACUAGCAUAUACAUGAUAUUAUCAUUGCUUGAUUUUGUAGGAGGCAUGACAGUUUCUCUUAAUUAUGAAUAAUGACAAUAUCAUUGCCAUCUUUUUUCUGGUUUUUCAUUUUUUUCCUUUUUUUUUUUUUUUUGAAUCCUACCGAUCAAAAGUCAAAUUAAAUUCUAAAUAAAUUUGGGGUGGAUACAAUUGAAUUUUCAACCAUCAAAUACUUUUUGGCUUGCUUUCACAUUAAUUUUCAAAUUAAUUUUACCAGAUUUUAAUUUGAUCAGUUGUUUAUAUAAUUAUAUUACCUCCUAUACUGCUCAUUCGUUCGACCUUCGAAGCCUUUUGUCUAUAUAUAUUUUGUAUAUCUACGUCUAAACACACAAUGAAAUCGCAUAAUUAAGAAAGGAGUAAUACACGAAACAAAAUAUAAAAUUCAUUGGACAAAAUUAAAGUCCAAUAACUAGUAUAUACAUGAUAUCCUCAUUAAUUUGCUUGAUUUUGUAGGAGGCAUAGCAGUUUAUCUUAAUUAUGAGUACUGAUAAUAUCUUUGCUCAUCUUUUUUUAGGUUUUUCCUUUUCUUUCUUUUGGAUACUGCCGAUCAAAACUCAAAUUAAAUUCUAAUUAAAUUUGGGAUGCAUGCUUCGAAUUGAAAUCUCAACCAUCAAUACUUUUACCCUUGCUUUCACAUUAAUUUUCAAAUUAAUUUUAUCAUAUUUAAAUCUGAUUAAUUGUUUAUGUUACCUCCUUUACUGCUCAUUCAUUCGGGCUUCGAAGCCUUUGUGUGUGUGUGUGUGUGUGUGUGGUUAUUUUGUAUAUCUAUGUCUACACACAAAAUGAAAUCACAUAAUUAUGGUCAUAGCAUAGAAUUAGACUAAUUUGAGAGAGAUAGAUCUGCGACUAUGGCAUAAAUUCUCCGAUUGAUCCAAUUUUCAAUUCUCAUUCAAAUUAAAGUACGCAUUUUUUUAAAAUUUGUUUUAGUAAUUACUUUUGCUUUUCUUUUUAAAUUUGUUUUAUUAAUUGCUUUUGCUCUUCUUUAAUUUAUAUAUAUGUGAUAUGUCUUUUGUUGUGGUAAGUGGUAUAUGUAAUUGUUCGUUUUGCAGGCUCUGAAUUAAUUCAAGUUUUUGACGCGGUACUGGCCAUGGAGGUGCGUUUCCUUUCUCCCUAUAGGUUUUAAAAAAAUAAUUAAUUAAUUCCACAAAAUAUAACUCAAUAGCAGAAAAUGUUUCCUAUUUUUCUAUAGUUAUUUUCUUGAGAGAAAAUAAAAUAAAAUAACAGACACCCAAGAAUUGCUUUAAUGGGUUAAUUAGAACCUUUCGGGUUCAUAAAUAGUCACAUGAACUGCUUAAUUUGAUAUAACAGUAAAAAAUUGAUUUCAAUACUAAAAAAUGAAAAUUAUUCUUGCAAAUGUUAAAUUUAACAGGAAACCAAAAGAAGAAAGUUGAAGUCAAAUGUUUGGGAUGAGUUCAGAAAGUAUAAAGGACAAGAUGGAAUGGAAUGGUCUAUAUGUAAUAUUUGCGAAAAGGAGUUGGAUGGUUCAAGCAAGAAAGGAACCACACAUCUCAAGAAUCAGUUGGUGUCAAAGAAAAGCCGAGAUAAGAGAAAAGGUGAUAAAAUUAAUAUUGGUGGUGAUCAAGAUAAAUCAAUCAAACAGGAGAUUUAGAUGAUAAUAUUAAACACACACCUUUAAUGCCGAAGGAAAUAUUACCGAGGAUCUUUGUUUUCUAAACUUCAAAAAGGUUGAAAUACUCCAAGUCUACCAAGAAGAGAAGAUAAAAUUUGGCCAUUUUCUUAGUAAACUGUCAUGUCGUUUUAGUUUAGAAAAAAAUAGAGUUGAAGAUGAGUAUUUUCUCGUGAAAUUAACUACACUAUAUUGAUGAUAG